RNAcentral lists this ribosomal RNA (474 nucleotides) under uncultured organism. RNAcentral describes it as "partial 16S ribosomal RNA". It matches the Rfam family "Bacterial small subunit ribosomal RNA", at positions 334 to 799 of the family's 1533-position model. The record is from RNAcentral.
CACUCCUGCGGGAGGCAGCAGUGGGGAAUUUUGGACAAUGGGCGAAAGCCUGAUCCAGCAAUGCCGCGUGAGUGAAGAAGGCCUUCGGGUUGUAAAGCUCUUUUGUCAGGGAAGAAACGGUGAAAGCUAAUAUCUUUUGCUAAUGACGGUACCUGAAGAAUAAGCACCGGCUAACUACGUGCCAGCAGCCGCGGUAAUACGUAGGGUGCAAGCGUUAAUCGGAAUUACUGGGCGUAAAGCGUGCGCAGGCGGUUUUGUAAGUCUGAUGUGAAAUCCCCGGGCUCAACCUGGGAAUUGCAUUGGGGACUGCAAGGCUAGAAUCUGGCAGAGGGGGGUAGAAUUCCACGUGUAGCAGUGAAAUGCGUAGAUAUGUGGAGGAACACCGAUGGCGAAGGCAGCCCCCUGGGUAAAGAUUGACGCUCAUGCACGAAAGCGUGGGGAGCAAACAGGAUUAGAUACCCUAGUAGUCCCAGG